Small nuclear RNA from Perognathus longimembris pacificus (Pacific pocket mouse), 107 nucleotides. NCBI's taxonomy places the organism in Eukaryota, Metazoa, Chordata, Mammalia, Rodentia, Heteromyidae. The record is from RefSeq and is a predicted model, not a curated record.
GUGCUUGCUUCAGCAUCACAUAUGCUAAAAUUAAAACGAUACAGGGAUUAUUAUCAUGGCCCCUGCACAAAGAGGACACGGAAUUUCGUGAAGCAUUCCAUAUUUAU